UUCAGUGGAGCGGCCCUGGGGCGCGCCUUCCCCUCCGGAGCCUCGGUUUCCUCCCUUCGAACUGUGGGGAAUGGGAGCCCCUUGCCCUGCAGGCGCAGAGUGAGACCUAGGGGGUCCGGGGCCGGCGCAAGCCCACGCACUGCGAUCGCUCAAUGAACUAGCCCCUGGUCCAGCCUCCUUCUGGCUCCUCGACCUUUCCCGGGGUCUCACUUUAGGACCCGCCUCUCAGCAUCUCUGCCGAGAAGGUCAAGAUGGUGCAACCUUGAAGAUGCUUACAGGAUGGGCUGGCCUGGAAAGGCUUCUGCAGCUGGCGUAGCUACAGUCUGGAACAUCAGUGACGUUCAGGCAGACUUCCUGGAGGAGCUCAGAACAGGAGAAAAGCAAAAGUGAAAAGUGAAAGUGUUCGUCGCUCAGUCAUCUCUGACUCAUUGUGACACCGUGGGCUGUCGACCACCAGGCUCCUCUGUCCGUGGAGUUCUCCAGGCAAGAAUACUGGAGUGGGUUGCCAUUCGCUUCUCCAGGGGAUCUUCCCACCCCAGGGAUUGAACCCGGGUCUCUUGCACUGCGGGCGGAUUCUUUACCAUCUGAGCUACCAUUCCAGUAAAACAAAGGUUCUUGUGCUUCUGACCCCUGGGAUGGUGAGGGUGGGGCCACGGCUUUGGGCAGGGUCUGCAUGCGGCCAGCUCAGUCCACAUCUCCACUUUCUGGCACCUGGGACACACUGUUUCACUAUUUCAUUCUUCAAUGGCUCUAAACCCUCUUCUUUAACCAGAUGGUGCCCCUUCGUGAGUCUCCUCUUGUCCCUUCUUUGUGGCUUCCACCCAGAACGAUGCCAAGGUAUGUGUGACUUCUAAAUCUCCUGCUUAGACCUCUCACCUGGGUACCAGGAGAUUGUGGAUCUGGUCCUGUCUGCCUGGGAUUAACUGGGAGACAAUCUCUUCUCUGAGAUUUCCUUGCCUAGAAGGUGGGAACCAUGCCAUGAGUCCGGGGACAGAGGCGUUUGCAGCCUCAGCCCUGGGGUCAAAGGCCUGGAACACCCUAACCGUGGGCACACCCCUCUGUGCCAGGUGCAGAGCCCCACAGACAGCGAGGAGGGCGCACAGGCCGGGGCUGCUGGAACGUGCGCAGGCUGCCCUUGGUGAAAGUGGGAGGCAGAGGCGGACGCCAAUUUUCCCCACUCCACUGGGCAGGAAAAUUAUUUCUUCUGAUUCCUCUGUGUUCCAGCCGGUUCUGUGCCUGCAAGAGAUCCAGAGGUUGGUUGGAACAGGGGCUGCUGUGAACCUCAAAGUCAGGCAGCGGCAGGGACCCCGGCUCUGGCUGAGACUGGAGGUGGAGGGAGGCAGCCUGCCCACAGCGGCCGGAGCCCUUCUGGGCCCUUGAGCAUCUCCAGCUUGUUUUCUCGAGCCUCUCCAGUCUUUCUCUGGGCUCUGCCCCUCUGCCCCCCACCUCCCCUCUGGGCGGUGGAUUUUCUCGGGGCUGUGGACAUCACAGAGGAGGGCCCCAAAGGAAAGCAAGGUGGGGCGGCCACAUGUGUCUGCCACAAGUGAUCGCUGAGACCCCAGCAGACCUGCAAGGAAGGGAGGCUCAGCCCAGCUUAGAGGGGAAACUGAGCCUCAGAGGGUCGGGUCGGCGUGCUCAGGGGACAUGAGGGGUGGGCACGUUCUAGCAGGGCCCCUUAGCCCCCCUAGCAUGUCCCCAGAUGGGACCAGCCAAGCAGAGGGAGGUGAAGCAAUGGAGCCCGCCCCUGUUUCGAAGGGCCCAGAUGCCAUUCAUGUCUAGGUGCUCAGACUUCUGGAGAACACCACCAAAGCCUCCCAUCCUAGGGGGCAGGGCAGGGGCCCAGGGGCCACAGCUGAGGUCCAGGAGCCCAGCGUGCUCCUCCCUGGCCAGAGCAGCCAGUGACUGGGCAGACUGGGACAUGCCUAGGGGGACUGACCCACCUGGCACAGGGCUGAGCAGGCUUUCGGGUCUAAAAUGGGACAGUCCUGGGCAAACCAGGAUCAGUUGGUCCCCCCCAGGCAGAUGAAGAACUUUGGAUGGUUCAAGUCCAAACUUAGACUGGGAGGUAGUGGGGGCUUCAGGGCUAGAGGGGAUUUAGUGGAGGGGAGGGCGAGCUUGACUGAGGAAGCAGUGCUGGCGAGGAAGGAGGUCGGGUCUGCCUGUUUCAAGGUUCUGCCAGGAGCUGAGCACACUCCUGAGGGAUCUGGGGGUUCCCCUGGGGGAGCUGCGCUUCCGGGACCCAGUCUCAGAUCCCUCUCUUCCUCAGGUCAGCCUCCCCCUGGGACACGAGGUCCGGCUUUCAGACCUGGAUAUCCACUCCAUCAUUGCUCGUGUCUGUCUGGCCAAAACGAGCACCCCCCACCCAACUUAGGGCAGAGAGGGUGCAGGCUGGGGAGUCAGCCAGGGCUUUGUUCAGAUCUCAGCCUGGCCUUGUCCUUACCCUGGGAGAGGCCAUUUGUGGCUCCAGCUUUUGUUUCUGCAUCUGGAAGGGGGUUCCCUUCUCUGCAAAGAUGCUGCGAAGAUGGAAGAUUUGGAGCAAGGUCUGUGGAGGCCCUGGGACGCCCAGGGGGCUCCGGGGGAGCUUAGCUUCCCCAGGAGAUUAGGUCCAGGAGAAAGGAGCUUGGACAAAUGGAAGACUGCUGAGCAAGAUGGAUUGCUGAGCAAGAUGGCAGGGGCUGGAUGGCGGCACCCAGCCCCCGGUCAGCCCCCGGGACCCUGUCCCUAGUCCCCAGGAAGUGUUCAUUCUGAGACUGGACUUGCGACCCGUGCCUCCCACCCCCAUGACUCCCUCUCUCCACCCCCAAACAGAACUUUGUCCAGGGGUUGGCGGUCCAGGCCCAGUUGAAGGAUAGCAUGUUCCAGCCAUCCUCGAGCCGGAAUGGUCAGGUGAGUUGUGUGGGGAAUUGAGUGGAAGAAGUUGUUAAAAGGGAUUUUGUUGUUUUCUUAUAGCUUCACUGAGGUACAAUUGACUUGCAAUAAUCUGCUCCCAUUUAAACCGCACAAUUUGGUAAGUUUCGACGUGUAUGUCAGGAAGCCAUCACCACAAUCAAGAUAGUGAAUGUUUCCAUCAGCUGCAAGCAUUUCCUCUUGCCUCUUUGUAAGCCAUCCAUCACAGGGUGACCCUGUCCUCACGCAACCCCUGAUCUGCUCUGUACCGCUACAGAUUAGCUUGCCCUUUCUGGAGUCUUAUAUAAGUAGAAUCCUACAGUACAUAUUCUCUUUCUUUCCCUUUUUUUUUGGCUGGGGGAAUUCUGGCUCCUUCCACUUUGCAUAAUGAUUCUGAGAUUCAUCCAUGCUGUUGGGUAUAUCAAUAGUUCGUUUCUUUUUAUUGUUGAUUUGUCUUUCACUGUUCGAAUAUGCUGUCGUCUGUUUAUCCAUUUCCCAAUUAAUGGACAUUUGGGUUUUUCCACUUUUUGGCUAUGAAAGCAAAGCUGCUAGGAAUAUUUGGGUCCAAGUUUGUGUGUGGACAUAUUGCUUUAAUUUCUUUUGGGCAAAUACCUCGGAGUGGAAUGGCUUGAUCAUAUGGUAGGUGUAUCUCUAAUUUGUUAAGAAGCUGCCAAACUGUUUUCAAAGUGGCUGCACAAUUUUAAAUCCCCAGCAGCCAAAUAUGAAAGAUCCAGCUGCUCCACAUUCCUGUUAGCGUUGGGUAAGGCCAGUCUUUUACAUUUUAGGCAUUCAUAAUGGGUGUGUGCUGGUAUCUCACUGUGCUUUUUUAAAAAAAAAUUUUUUUUGUUGGAGUAUCAUUGCUUUACAAUGUUAUGUUGGUUUCUGCUGUACAGCAGAGGGAAUCAGCUAUCAGUUCAGU
This is a long non-coding RNA of Bubalus bubalis (water buffalo), 3805 nucleotides long. RefSeq lists it as uncharacterized. The record is from RefSeq and is a predicted model, not a curated record. The transcript is spliced from 3 exons. NCBI's taxonomy places the organism in Eukaryota, Metazoa, Chordata, Mammalia, Artiodactyla, Bovidae.